CCUACGGGGGGCAGCAGUGGGGGAUAUUGCACAAUGGGGGGAACCCUGAUGCAGCGACGCCGCGUGGGUGAAGGAGUGCUUCGGCAUGUAAAGCCCUAUCGGCAGGGAAGAAGCAAGACGGUACCUGAGUAAGAAGCUCCGGCUAAAUACGUGCCAGCAGCCGCGGUAAUACGUAUGGAGCAAGCGUUAUCCGGAUUUACUGGGCGUAAAGGGAGCGUAGGCGGCCUGCCAAGUCUGAUGUGAAAUACCGGGGCUCAACCCCGGGGCUGCAUUGGAAACUGGCAGGCUGGAGUGCCGGAGAGGCAGGCGGAAUUCCUAGUGUAGCGGUGAAAUGCGUAGAUAUUAGGAGGAACACCGGCGGCGAAGGCGGCUUACUGGACUGUAACUGACGUUGAGGCUCGAAGGCGUGGGGAGCAAACAGGAUUAGAUACCCUGGUAGUC
Molecule: ribosomal RNA, 441 nt
Filed under: uncultured bacterium
Lineage: Bacteria
Description: partial 16S ribosomal RNA
Rfam family: Bacterial small subunit ribosomal RNA
Source: RNAcentral